GGUUGUCGUCAGCUCGUGCCGUGAGGUUGUCCGGGUUAAGUCCCCAUAACGAGCGCAACCCUUAUCGUUAGUUGCCAGCGGGUAAUGCCGGGGACUCUAGCGAAACUGCCGGUGUAAACCGAGAGGAAGUGGGAUGACGUCAAAUCAGCAGGCCCUUAUGUCCAGGGCUACACACGUGUUACAAUGGCCGGUACAGAGGGCAGCUACCUGGAGACAGGAUGCGAAUCUCGAAAGCCGGUCUCAGUUCGGAUCGGAGUCUGCAACUCGACUCCGUGAAGCUGGAUUCGCUAGUAAUCGCGCAUCAGCCAUGGCCGCGGUCGAAUACGUUCCCGGGCCUU
RNAcentral lists this ribosomal RNA (338 nucleotides) under uncultured Sphingobacteriales bacterium. Its description in RNAcentral is "bacterial SSU rRNA". It matches the Rfam family "Bacterial small subunit ribosomal RNA", at positions 1047 to 1382 of the family's 1533-position model. Lineage: Bacteria; Pseudomonadati; Bacteroidota; Sphingobacteriia; Sphingobacteriales. The record is from RNAcentral.